CAGCAGCCGCGGGAAUACGGAGGGCGCGAGCGUUACCCGGAUUUACUGGGCGUAAAGGGCGUGUAGGCGGCCUGGGGCGUCCCAUGUGAAAGGCCACGGCUCAACCGUGGAGGAGCGUGGGAUACGCUCAGGCUAGAGGGUGGGAGAGGGUGGUGGAAUUCCCGGAGUAGCGGUGAAAUGCGCAGAUACCGGGAGGAACGCCGAUGGCGAAGGCAGCCACCUGGUCCACUUCUGACGCUGAGGCGCGAAAGCGUGGGGAGCAAACCGGAUUAGAGACCCCGGUAGUCCCUGUCUCUUAUAC
This 301-nucleotide ribosomal RNA is filed under the name uncultured bacterium. Its description in RNAcentral is "partial 16S ribosomal RNA". It matches the Rfam family "Bacterial small subunit ribosomal RNA", at positions 509 to 807 of the family's 1533-position model. The record is from RNAcentral.